RNAcentral lists this signal recognition particle RNA (96 nucleotides) under Alphaproteobacteria bacterium. RNAcentral's name for it is "signal recognition particle sRNA small type". It matches the Rfam family "Bacterial small signal recognition particle RNA". Rfam says of the family: The signal recognition particle (SRP) is a universally conserved ribonucleoprotein involved in the co-translational targeting of proteins to membranes. Archaeal SRP consists of a 7S RNA and homologues of the eukaryotic SRP19 and SRP54 proteins. The record is from RNAcentral. Lineage: Bacteria; Pseudomonadati; Pseudomonadota; Alphaproteobacteria.
CGGAAGGCUGGAUGGACGCUCUCUUAUGCUUACCCUGGUCAGAUCCGAAAGGAAGCAGCCACAGUAUUUCUGAGCGGGUCGUCCAGUCUUUCAUUU